CGGUGGUAUGGGAUGGGCCCGCGUCUGAUUAGGCAGUUGGCGGGGUAACGGCUCACCAAACCGACGAUCAGUAGCCGGCCUGAGAGGGCGACCGGCCACAUUGUGACUGAGACACGGCCCAAACUCCUACGGGAGGCAGCAGUGGGGAAUAUUGCACAAUGGGGGAAACCCUGAUGCAGCGACGCCGCGUGAGCGAAGAAGUAUUUCGGUAUGUAAAGCUCUAUCAGCAGGGAAGAUAAUGACGGUACCUGACUAAGAAGCCCCGGCUAACUACGUGCCAGCAGCCGCGGUAAUACGUAGGGGGCAAGCGUUAUCCGGAUUUACUGGGUGUAAAGGGAGCGUAGACGGCAAGGCAAGUCUGAUGUGAAAACCCAGGGCUUAACCCUGGGACUGCAUUGGAAACUGUCUGGCUCGAGUGCCGGAGAGGUAAGCGGAAUUCCUAGUGUAGCGGUGAAAUGCGUAGAUAUUAGGAAGAACACCAGUGGCGAAGGCGGCUUACUGGACGGUAACUGACGUUGAGGCUCGAAAGCGUGGGGAGCAAACAGGAUUAGAUACCCUGGUAGUCCACGCCGUAAACG
RNAcentral lists this ribosomal RNA (578 nucleotides) under uncultured bacterium. RNAcentral describes it as "bacterial SSU rRNA". It matches the Rfam family "Bacterial small subunit ribosomal RNA", at positions 213 to 808 of the family's 1533-position model. The record is from RNAcentral.